Long non-coding RNA from Mus musculus (house mouse), 3563 nucleotides. RefSeq annotates it as predicted gene, 53913. The record is from RefSeq and is a predicted model, not a curated record. The transcript has 2 exons. NCBI's taxonomy places the organism in Eukaryota, Metazoa, Chordata, Mammalia, Rodentia, Muridae.
CACCCACCUACACGGCAGGAGGCUGGUGCCGUCAUCCAUCAGCUGAGAGGUGGGAUCCGGCCCCACCCUGGACCACUCUCCCCCUCUCUUGAGUGUAUAAGUCCAGCUGUAUAGGAGCCCUUUCAGCCUGGGCGAGGGGCACUGACAUCACACUCAAGACCAGCUGCACGGCAGAGCGAAAAGGCACAGAGGCAAGCUGCAGGUGCCACCACGGGAGCCACCACCCAGCCCUGAGGGACAUUGUAAGAGGAGCUCAUAGAUGCCAGCUGCAGGUGAAACAGAGGAGAGGCUGCCUCUCCCCACCCCACCCCCGGGGGCUCACAGGUGCAGAGACUGUGCUUGCCCCUAUCUAGCUGUGAGCCCAGGAACCACGUGAUCGUGAUCCUCGGACCCUCUUGAGCUUUUAUUGAGCACUUGCUGUGGGGGGUGGAGAGAGCGCUGGGGGCUGGGGGGCAUGGGUGAACCCCCUCAGGGGCUUUACUGACUCACAGUUGGUUUUCAUCUUCAUUUAUUUUUACCGUGCUGGGGAUAGAACCCAGGACCUCACACACAUGAAGUCUCUGGCACUGAGCCACACCCCAACCCUGAGCUGCAACUUUAUAAAAGGCUUUGUACCUACUCCAAGCAAGGCAAAAGACAGAGUCCAGGAUAUCAAUACAGGAAGUGAAUAUAAUUACCAAGCCAGAGAAAGAACCAUAAAGAAGAUAAACAAAUGGGCUUGAGGUCUAGAAUAAAGCAACAGGAACCAUUUCCAGUGGGUUCUGAAGAAACUGUGGUGGAGGUGAUGUUACACCGGGACCUCAGGACACGGAAUCGAUCCAGAAAAGUAUUCCAGGCAGACGGGACAGCAUAGACAAAGGCACCAUGGCCAGAAGCCAGAGAAAGCCUGGCAUCACUGGGGAACUGGAACACAAAAUGCAGUUUGGUAUUUUUCUGUGGCACGAGAGGAGAAAGAGUUAGAGAUGGUAGAGAGACCUAGGGAGAUGAUUCCGUGAGGUCUAAUGCAGGCCAUCCCAGCGUCAUGUGGAUGGGUUUGUGGACCACACAAGGGUUCCAGCAGCAGAGUGACUGGGCCCACAGCUUUCUGCAAUGUCACGGCUUAGAGUGAGGUGACAGACAGACAGACAGACAGGUCUCACUAAAAAGUUUUAGCUUUGUGUUUCUAAUUCCACAGGGCUGCUGUGAUGGGUUUGAAGUAGAGAUUUGAUUCAGGCAGGAAAAAAAAAAAAUGAUGAGGCCAGGCAUUGUGGCAGAUCUCUGUGAGUUCAAGACCAGGCCUACAGAGUGAGUUCUAGGACAGCCAGGGCUACACAGAGAAAUUGUGUCUUGAAAAGCUAAAAACAAACAAACAAACAAACAAAAAAGUACACGCCUUUAAUCCCAGCACUCAGGAGGCAAAGGCAGGAGGAUUCUGAAUUCCAGGUCAGCCAGGGCUAUGUAGAAAGCCCUACCUCAAAAAAAAUUUUUUUUUAAUUCAAAAAUUAUGUAUUUAUUAUUGUGUGUGGUUUUUGUACUUCACACAGUUGCGUGUGCCCUAGCCCCCACGGGGUGUCACAGAACGAACUUUAGGAGUUGGUUCUUUUCUUCCACUUUGACACCAGGGGUCAGACUCAGGUCACUCAUUAGGCUCCUGGGUGUGCUUUUAUCUGCUAUUACGGGCCCUUUUUUUUUUUUUUUUGGAAACGAGGUCUACUCCUGUAGCCCAGGCUGACCUCAAACUUGCUGUGUAGUCAGCUGAGGUUAGUCUUAAACUCCUGACCCUUUCUGCCUCCACCUCCCAAGUCGUGGGGAGCCAGCUCCGGGUUUGCUUUUGAAAGGGUCACCUGACUGCUUUGUCAGGAAGGAAGGCCGGCCUUGAGAUUGUGGAAAGAGGUGGGGCCCACUCCAGGAAGGUAAGUACUGCCUGUGGAAUGGGGUGUGCCCAGGGAAGGGUCCACCUAGACGUCUCUCAAAGCCACAAUUGAAUGCUGGCCACUGCCACGGGACAGCAAUCUUAGGUGCCAGACCCUGCUUUGCUGCUAGCCUGCUGUGUGACUACACUGCUGCGGCUCAGCAUGUUGCUUCCUGGACUUGGUUGGGAACAUGCUGUAUUGAGGGUCUUUUGUGCUUGGAUUGGCCAGGAAGUCUUGAGCCUGCUGCAAGGGACAUACACCCUCCUGAGUCAGGAGGACAUACACCUUCAUGAGUGGGGAGAACCUACACAAUCCUGAGUCGGGAGGUGGGGAGGACCAACACCCUCUUGAGUGGGGAGGACCUACAUCACACUGAAUCGUGGGGAGGACAUGCACCUUCAUGAGUGGGGAGGACCUAAACCUUCAUGAGUGGGGAGGACUGGCCAACCACUCUAAACCCAUGGAAGUCAAGAGAGUUCCAGAUGGUGACUCAAGGUGUGAUGGAAACAAGCCAAGGCCAUCACAGAGAGCACGGCCCCAUUUGACUGAGUGAGCAGGUCUUAGAGAGGUAGAUCAAAUACUGAAGGGGGUCACUUGUGGAAAAAGCCAAUGCAGAGGCCCAGAGGGACAUGUCUGUAGCCAGCAUUCUGAGCAGUAAGGAGCCCAGAAAUGAAGCUCAGGGCUUAGCCAGGGAGGCACAGGUGUAAAGAGUGGGAGGAGGGCCAGGAGACUGACCUGUCUGUCACAGGUUGGGUGAACAGUGGCUAAGUCUGUGGGUCUAGCUACUACUCAAGGCAGACUUCAGAUGGGCCAGGAAGGAACAUUAGACAGCGAUCCUGUAUCUGUUGUGGGUAUCUGGGGAGGGAAGCUUCAAAAAUGCACCUGAAGGAGAGGCCCGGGUUCUAAAGAGGGUGUGGGGCCUCAGUUCAGGCCAGAACAUGUUCAUUAAAAUCCCCUAGACAGUUUCCCUGGCUUCAGGCUAAAAGAAAGAUGUGAAGUACAGCCCGUGUGUGUUUGGAGGGGGCUGCAUGGUGGAGUCAGAGCUUGCCUGAGCACAGUCCUCCCCCACAGGCAGUUACCACACUGACACAGAUGCAAAAAAAACCCAUCAAUUUUAUACAGUUUGUGGUUCAGAAGCAACAUAUGCAGAAAACGGUGGAACAGUCCAGGCUGCCCCACCCCACCUGAAUGAACUCAUUCUUGUUCCCCAAGGAGCACAGAACCCAGGACCCCGGCCUGGCAGGACCCCACUUAGUUAUAGGCCCCUGGACAGGGGUUAAGCCCUUAGGGGUCAAGGUUGGAGGGAGGGGACCAGCACCUUGCCCCCUUGGGGCCCACUGGUCCAUUGAUGUGUGUGUGUGUGUGUGUGUGUGUGUGUGUGUGUGUGUAUCUGUCUGUCUGUCUCUGUAGGGUGGGGAAUGAUCCAUCGUGGAUCUCCUCUCCCCAAGGCUAAGGAAGGGCUGGGGAGCCAGUAUAUCUGAGGAGAGGGUUUCUUGGGACAGGACCCCCACAAGGCACGACUGACCCAGACUUUAGCCUGGUACAGCCCUCUUUGGUCCCCCAGAUUUCUCCCAAUUCCCAGUGUCUAUUCUCCCCCUGUAGAGCUCCUGCUGUGGUUUAGGGGAGGGCAGAAAGCAACUAGCCCCCCCCCCCUUUUUUUUUUGUUCAGCA